RNAcentral lists this ribosomal RNA (575 nucleotides) under Oxalobacteraceae bacterium. RNAcentral describes it as "bacterial SSU rRNA". It matches the Rfam family "Bacterial small subunit ribosomal RNA", at positions 819 to 1399 of the family's 1533-position model. Lineage: Bacteria; Pseudomonadati; Pseudomonadota; Betaproteobacteria; Burkholderiales; Oxalobacteraceae. The record is from RNAcentral.
GUUGUCGGGUCUUAAUUGACUUGGUAACGCAGCUAACGCGUGAAGUAGACCGCCUGGGGAGUACGGUCGCAAGAUUAAAACUCAAAGGAAUUGACGGGGACCCGCACAAGCGGUGGAUGAUGUGGAUUAAUUCGAUGCAACGCGAAAAACCUUACCUACCCUUGACAUGUACAGAAUCCCGAAGAGAUUUGGGAGUGUUCGAAAGAAAACUGUAACACAGGUGCUGCAUGGCUGUCGUCAGCUCGUGUCGUGAGAUGUUGGGUUAAGUCCCGCAACGAGCGCAACCCUUGUCAUUAGUUGCUACGAAAGGGCACUCUAAUGAGACUGCCGGUGACAAACCGGAGGAAGGUGGGGAUGACGUCAAGUCCUCAUGGCCCUUAUGGGUAGGGCUUCACACGUCAUACAAUGGUACAUACAGAGGGCCGCCAACCCGCGAGGGGGAGCUAAUCCCAGAAAGUGUAUCGUAGUCCGGAUUGUAGUCUGCAACUCGACUACAUGAAGUUGGAAUCGCUAGUAAUCGCGGAUCAGCAUGUCGCGGUGAAUACGUUCCCGGGUCUUGCACUCACCGCCCGUCA